GAUGAACGCUGGCGGCGUGCCUAAUACAUGCAAGUCGAGCGAACAGACGAGGAGCUUGCUCCUCUGACGUUAGCGGCGGACGGGUGAGUAACACGUGGAUAACCUACCUAUAAGACUGGGAUAACUUCGGGAAACCGGAGCUAAUACCGGAUAAUAUAUUGAACCGCAUGGUUCAAUAGUGAAAGACGGUUUUGCUGUCACUUAUAGAUGGAUCCGCGCCGCAUUAGCUAGUUGGUAAGGUAACGGCUUACCAAGGCAACGAGGCGUAGCCGACCUGAGAGGGUGAUCGGCCACACUGGAACUGAGACACGGUCCAGACUCCUACGGGAGGCAGCAGUAGGGAAUCUUCCGCAAUGGGCGAAAGCCUGACGGAGCAACGCCGCGUGAGUGAUGAAGGUCUUCGGAUCGUAAAACUCUGUUAUUAGGGAAGAACAAAUGUGUAAGUAACUAUGCACGUCUUGACGGUACCUAAUCAGAAAGCCACGGCUAACUACGUG
RNAcentral lists this ribosomal RNA (497 nucleotides) under uncultured bacterium. RNAcentral describes it as "partial 16S ribosomal RNA". It matches the Rfam family "Bacterial small subunit ribosomal RNA", at positions 28 to 507 of the family's 1533-position model. The record is from RNAcentral.